AGAGUUUGAUUAUGGCUCAGGACGAACGCUGGCGGUAUGCUUAACACAUGCAAGUCGAACGAGAAGGUUUUGAAUGAUCCUUCGGGUGAAAUUAGAACUGGAAAGUGGCGAACGGGUGAGUAACGCGUGGGUAACCUGCCCUAUGGAAAGGAAUAGCCUCGGGAAACUGGGAGUAAAGCCUUAUAUUAUGGUUUUGUCGCAUGGCAAGAUCAUGAAAACUCCGGUGCCAUAGGAUGGACCCGCGUCCCAUUAGCUAGUUGGUGAGAUAACAGCCCACCAAGGCGACGAUGGGUAACCGGUCUGAGAGGGCGAACGGUCACACUGGAACUGAGACACGGUCCAG
Molecule: ribosomal RNA, 343 nt
Filed under: uncultured bacterium
Lineage: Bacteria
Description: bacterial SSU rRNA
Rfam family: Bacterial small subunit ribosomal RNA
Source: RNAcentral